Molecule: long non-coding RNA, 259 nt
Filed under: Musa acuminata (dwarf banana)
Lineage: Eukaryota; Viridiplantae; Streptophyta; Magnoliopsida; Zingiberales; Musaceae
Description: long non-coding RNA (MACU_LNC011117)
Source: RNAcentral
CUCGCCUCGGGCCAGACGAGCCUCCGACUGCGCUCCCUCCAGGAGUCCCCGGAGAUUGCCUUUCUCCUCCUCGGCCGCCUUCGCCUCGGACCUUAAGCGAAGGACCUCGGCCUCCAGCGCCAAUGCGCGCUCGUCGGCCGCCCCUGCCUUAGCUCGGAGACGCGCCGCCUCCGCCUCGAGCUCCGAGGAGCGCUGCUCGGCCGUCGCAACCGCCUCCGGAGAUGCCCCGGCCCGAACCUCCUCGAGCUGCUUGCGCAGC